Molecule: ribosomal RNA, 433 nt
Filed under: uncultured bacterium
Lineage: Bacteria
Description: partial 16S ribosomal RNA
Rfam family: Bacterial small subunit ribosomal RNA
Source: RNAcentral
AACGAACGCUGGCGGCAUGCCUAACACAUGCAAGUCGAACGAGACCUUCGGGUCUAGUGGCGCACGGGUGCGUAACGCGUGGGAACCUGCCCUUAGGUUCGGAAUAACUCCCCGAAAGGGGUGCUAAUACCGGAUAAUGUCUUCGGACCAAAGAUUUAUCGCCUUUGGAUGGGCCCGCGUUGGAUUAGCUAGUUGGUAGGGUAAAAGCCUACCAAGGCGACGAUCCAUAGCUGGUCUGAGAGGAUGAUCAGCCACACUGGGACUGAGACACGGCCCAGACUCCUACGGGAGGCAGGAGUGGGGAAUAGUGGAAAAUGGGCGAAAGCAUGAUCCAGCAAUGACGGGUGAGUGCUGAAGGCAUUAGGGUUGUAAAGCUCUUUUAACCGGGAUGAUAAUGACAGUACCGGGAGAAUAAGCUACGGCUAACUCCGUG